UACGUAGGUGGCAAGCGUUGUCCGGAUUUAUUGGGUUUAAAGGGUGCGUAGGCGGCUUUGUAAGUCAGUGGUGAAAUAUGGCAGCUCAACUGUCAAGGUGCCAUUGAUACUGCGGAGCUUGAGUACAGAUGAGGUAGGCGGAAUUGACGGUGUAGCGGUGAAAUGCUUAGAUAUCGUCAAGAACACCUAUAGCGAAGGCAGCUUACUAGGCUGUAACUGACGCUGAGGCACGAAAAGUGUGGGGGAUCAAACAGG
Molecule: ribosomal RNA, 255 nt
Filed under: uncultured bacterium
Lineage: Bacteria
Description: partial 16S ribosomal RNA
Rfam family: Bacterial small subunit ribosomal RNA
Source: RNAcentral